Molecule: long non-coding RNA, 2456 nt
Filed under: Gallus gallus (chicken)
Lineage: Eukaryota; Metazoa; Chordata; Aves; Galliformes; Phasianidae
Source: RNAcentral
CUUUAUUUGUAUGGUUUGUUUUAUCUCUACUGCUAUCAGGUUUUCUUGUGUCUGUUUGAAAUCCUACUACUGCCUGGGUGAAGAGCUGUGAAUCUUUCCGUGGCCAUUGGCAGGCUCUUGAUACCUAUCUGUAGUGGAAGGAAGAAAAUUUAUGGCUAAUGUGAACUUAAUACACAAAAUCUUCAUUUGGUUCUGAUCCAUACAGCUCAGCUAACAUUUUAAACCUGGGUCCCCAGUCAUUUAGGAAGUCAUAAUCGAUAUCUGAGUCUGAGGAGCCUGAUUCCAAAGAACUGAGAGAUUCUGCAAUGGACUCGGCCCCUUCGUAGCCAUAAAUGUGAAGCGUGUCAUAUGGCAGCAGAUCCCUGUCAUUGUCAGCUUCGUCCUUCUUAACCUCGAUCAUCAUUUCCAUUUCUCCAGCACCAGAAGUUGUAUUUCCAGGAGGCUUUUGGACCUGUGCAUAUGCAGAAGGCACCACUUCUGGCUUUAUACCAUUCUUGCGCACGGAGUUGAGCACAGACACAUCAUAGCUGGUGGUGUCCAUUUCACCGCCACCUUCUUCAUCGUAAGUGACAAGCUGCUCGUGGAUCUCUGCCACAUUCCUCCUGAGACCGCUCAGAUCCUUCUUGUGUCUCUUCCUUAGAAGAAUUAGCAAUGCAAUCACUGCAAUGAUUGUGAAGAUACAGAUGAAAAUUGCCACCAGUGCUUGUACACUAACUCCAACUUGUUUAGCUCUUUCCUCACAAAAAGUGAAGUCGCCUUUUUCAUUACACUUGCAGACACUGAUAACAAGUGUGUUUGUGCUGCUGAGCUCAGGAUUGCCGUUGUCUGAGAUGAUGACAGGCAGGUAGUGGAUUUUGGCAAGUUCACGAUUAAACUGUCCAUCCUUGACAGUGAUAUUAGCUGUGUUAUCGGGGUUCUCAGUCAAGGAGAAGUUGCUAUCUUCUGUGGUUAGGGAGUAUGUGAAGAAACCUCCAGGUGAUAUUUCAUCCUUGUCAGUAGCUGAAAUCCUGAUGAUUACCUUCCCCGGCGCAGCAUUUUCGCACACUCUGGGUUCCUCAGGAUAAACGAGUUCUGGAGCAUUAUCAUUUUCGUCAGUGACAAUGACGUGAACUUGUGCGUGUGAUUCUCUGUCAGAAAGACGGCCAUCCUCCAGGAUUUCCUGGGCUGCCACAGUGAUGUUGUAUAAGGAGCUGAAUUCUCUAUCUAGGGGCUUAGGAAGCUGAAUAAUUCCAGAAUCAGAUACUCUAACAUAGUCUCCAUUAGGGCUAGCUCUUCGUCGAGCAAAUCUGAUUUUCCGUUUAGCUGCGUCGGGGUCAUGUGCCCAAACGGAGCCAAGUGUUUUUAUUUCAGGAUCAUUCUCCCGUACUUUGAAUUCAUAUGAUAGUUUGGUGAAGACAGGAGGCUCAUCUACAUCUGUAACUUCAAUGGUAAUUGUUGAAAUGCUCCUGGAGCCACCAGGUUUGUAGUAGGCAGGGUUAACGUUGUGAUCUGUUGCUUCAAUGUCAAACCUGUACUCUGCUACUUUCUCGAAGUCCAGGGGCUUCUUUGGUCUAAUGAUUCCUUCAUUGGUGAAUGGAUUUGCUAUAAUUUCAAAGGUGUCCCUGUAGUCUCCUCUGACAAAACUGUAUUUUGUAUUUCUGUGUUGUGGUUCAUCAAUAUCUUCAACUUUAACUCGGCCAACUUCUCCUCCUACUGAAAUGUUUUCAGGAACUCUGAAGUGAAAUGAUGGGUGUUUGAAUACUGGGAAGUUGUCAUUGAUGUCUGUUAACCUGAUAAUGACUGUAGCUGUGCUUGACUCCCCGGUAAGCCCUAGAGCAUCUUUUGCUUUAACAAUAAUUUCAUAUGCUGAUUGACUCUCUCUGUCCAAAUCAGCUCUUGCUGUGGAAAUCACACCAGAGUCAUCAACUGUGAAAUAUUCAUUUCCUUUAAUGAUUUGGUAGGUAACUGUGGCAUGACCUGCAACUGUUGGGUCAUCGGCAUCUUCAGCUGUCACUUUGGUAACUGAGGUUCCUAAUCGUGACAUUUCUGGGACAGAUCCAUUGAAUAUCUUUUGUACAAAAAUGGGAGCAUUGUCAUUAAUAUCAGAAACCUUGAUAAUAAAUUUAGAUGGUGGUUCCAGCGAUCGGUUGUUUCUUCUGUCAAUAAUGUGUGCUGUCAGCUCAUACUCUGCUUUCUUUUCUCUGUCCAGCCUCUCAAAAGCGUAUAUGUCGCCAUCGUACCCUUGCACUUUAAAGAUGGUGUUGGCAGAUUCACCUUCAAUAAUAUACAUAGCAUUCUUGUUCCCUACACUCGAUGUGAGCUUGCCAACGUGAUGUGGUAAUGGUGAAUCAAUCUCUUCUCUGAUAUGCAUUCGGUUCCAUAUCCAGUCUCUCUUAAGUCGUUUAUGACUGGUAUUAUUUGAAGAAAAGUUUUGGUUUAUUUUCUGAUUUUCUUUAUAAGAGAAUGCUGGAGCCAAG